GAGGAGGUGAAGAAGAACAACCAUGUAGUAAGAAAGUUGGAGAAGCGUCAACAGAUUUGCACCCUUGACCAGCAUAUUGAAGAGCAAUUUGGUGGUGGUCUUCUAUUGGCUUGUAUCUCAUCACGACCUGGACAGUGGCUGUGCUGAUGGGAUGGGAAAACAUUGGACAAUGAGUUGGAGGUUGUUGAGGGAAUGAAGCUAGACAGGGGCUACAUAUCCCCUUAUUUCAUCACCAACCAGAACAAUCAGAAAUGUGAAUUGGAAAAUCCUCUAAUCAUAAUCCAUGAGAAGAAAAUCUCAAGUAUUAAUGAUGUGGUUAAAGUAUUGGAGUUGGUUUUGCAGAUCUGUAGAUAACCUGUUGUUGCUGAUAUUGCUACACGGG
Prunus persica (peach) is the source of this 382-nucleotide long non-coding RNA. RefSeq lists it as uncharacterized. Lineage: Eukaryota; Viridiplantae; Streptophyta; Magnoliopsida; Rosales; Rosaceae. The transcript is spliced from 4 exons. The record is from RefSeq and is a predicted model, not a curated record.